This 775-nucleotide unclassified non-coding RNA is filed under the name Gigantopelta aegis. Its description in RNAcentral is "dehydrogenase/reductase SDR family member 4-like, transcript variant X1". Lineage: Eukaryota; Metazoa; Mollusca; Gastropoda; Neomphalida; Peltospiridae. The record is from RNAcentral.
GUCAGAACAUUCAGCCGACAUAUUCCGAAUGCUUGCGAGUUGCUUAUUUUCCCAAUACAAACGAUGCUCCAAUAAAAAAUCGUUUUGCAUUGCGUUUCUAUAAAUAAAAGAGAUUUCCUACUCGGGAUUCCACGGAUGAUCAGGCUGGAAAAAAAAAACUUUGGGCUUGUAGUUUAUGAGUUAAACCAAUUUAGCACUUCACAAAUAUAAUUUUAGGCUACGUGAAAUAUGAAUUAUAGUUGAUGAAUUUCUUUAAUAGAGGAGUUAUAUAGUUUAGUGAUAGUGACAGUUCAAAGUUCAAGGUACGUCUGAAAAAUGUUUUCCAUGUUAACGAGGAUGACAACUGGCUGCCAUGUGGGUAUGAGACUGGCAUCUUCACACAUUGGCGGCAAGCUUUUGGGAAAAGUCGCCAUAAUAACAGCAUCCACUGAUGGAUCGACUGCGGAAAGGUAAACGUGAUGGUACACCUGAAAAGUCUCGUACCCCGUCCCAAGAAGCUGCACUGGAUGAAAAUAGAUCACCAUCUAGAACCUAUAUAUGGAAUGAAGAGAUUGAGAAAUUGCAGAUAAAAAAAGAUGAACUUAAAAAGAUUCAAGUAUCAUGAUUGCUGCAGCAGCCACUUCCUCAACAAAAGCACCCAUGUCGGUAAAGUAACUUUCUGUUUCAAACUCAUUCCUUUCACUGUCCAGGACAGAACAGUUGGAACAUGUCCAGGCGAGGUUAAAGGAAUGCACCCCAAGUCUGUGUGCACUCUGGGAAAUUUGUUGUGACAUAG